GGUGGUUCUCGGGUGACACGCCCCGGAAUCAGGCUCCCUCCUCUCUGGUUCUGGGUGCAUUACCUGAGAACCGCA
Molecule: non-coding RNA, 75 nt
Organism: Myotis lucifugus (little brown bat)
Lineage: Eukaryota; Metazoa; Chordata; Mammalia; Chiroptera; Vespertilionidae
Source: Rfam